RNAcentral lists this ribosomal RNA (934 nucleotides) under uncultured rumen bacterium. RNAcentral describes it as "bacterial SSU rRNA". It matches the Rfam family "Bacterial small subunit ribosomal RNA", at positions 8 to 919 of the family's 1533-position model. The record is from RNAcentral.
AGAGUUUGAUCAUGGCUCAGGACGAACGCUGGCGGCGUGCCUAACACAUGCAAGUCGAACGGGGAUUUUGUUUCGGCAGAAUCCUAGUGGCGAACGGGUGAGUAACGCGUAGGCAACCUGCCCUCCGGCCGGGGACAACACUCCGAAAGGGGUGCUAAUACCGGAUACGAAGUCUGUGCCGCAUGGUACGGAUUUGAAAGAUGGCCUCUGUUUACAAGCUAUCGCCGGGGGAUGGGCCUGCGUCCGAUUAGCUGGUUGGUGGGGUAACGGCCUACCAAGGCGACGAUCGGUAGCCGGUCUGAGAGGAUGAACGGCCACAUUGGGACUGAGACACGGCCCAGACUCCUACGGGAGGCAGCAGUGGGGAAUCUUCCGCAAUGGGCGCAAGCCUGACGGAGCAACGCCGCGUGAGUGAGGAAGUUCUUCGGAACGUAAAGCUCUGUUGUUCCUGACGAACCUCCCCUCUAUCAACAACGGAGGGGAUUGACGGUAGGGAACGAGGAAGCCACGGCUAACUACGUGCCAGCAGCCGCGGUAAUACGUAGGUGGCAAGCGUUGUCCGGAAUUAUUGGGCGUAAAGCGCAUGUAGGCGGUAAUUUAAGUCUGUCGUGAAACUGCGGGGCUCAGCCCCGUAUGGCGAUGGAAACUGGGUUACUUGAGUGCAGGAGAGGAAAGGGGAACUCCCAGUGUAGCGGUGAAAUGCGUAGAUAUUGGGAAGAACACCGGUGGCGAAGGCGCCUUUCUGGACUGUGUCUGACGCUGAGAUGCGAAAGCCAGGGUAGCGAACGGGAUUAGAUACCCCGGUAGUCCUGCCCGUAAACGAUGGGUACUAGGUGUGGGAGGUAUCGACCCCUUCCGUGCCGGAGUUAACGCAAUAAGUACCCCGCCUGGGGAGUACGGCCGCAAGGCUUAAACUCAAGGGAAUUGACGGGGG